RNAcentral lists this ribosomal RNA (660 nucleotides) under Ancylomarina euxina. RNAcentral's name for it is "partial 16S ribosomal RNA". It matches the Rfam family "Bacterial small subunit ribosomal RNA", at positions 873 to 1533 of the family's 1533-position model. The record is from RNAcentral. Lineage: Bacteria; Pseudomonadati; Bacteroidota; Bacteroidia; Marinilabiliales; Marinifilaceae.
CUGGGGAGUACGUUCGCAAGAAUGAAACUCAAAGGAAUUGACGGGGGCCCGCACAAGCGGAGGAACAUGUGGUUUAAUUCGAUGAUACGCGAGGAACCUUACCUGGACUUAAAUGUAGAUUGACCGGCUUAGAAAUAGGCUUUCUCUUCGGAGCAAUUUACAAGGUGCUGCAUGGUUGUCGUCAGCUCGUGCCGUGAGGUGUCGGGUUAAGUCCCAUAACGAGCGCAACCCCUAUCGUUAGUUGCUAACAGGUUAAGCUGAGGACUCUAGCGAGACUGCCACCGUAAGGUGAGAGGAAGGUGGGGAUGACGUCAAAUCAGCACGGCCCUUACGUCCAGGGCUACACACGUGUUACAAUGGCCAGUACAAAGGGCAGCUACCAGGUGACUGGAUGCUAAUCUCAAAAGCUGGUCUCAGUUCGGAUCGGAGUCUGCAACUCGACUCCGUGAAGUUGGAUUCGCUAGUAAUCGUAGAUCAGCAACGCUACGGUGAAUACGUUCCCGGGCCUUGUACACACCGCCCGUCAAGCCAUGGAAGCCGAGGGGACCUGAAGUACGUAACCGCAAGGAGCGUCCUAGGGUAAAAUUGGUAACUGGGGCUAAGUCGUAACAAGGUAGCCGUACCGGAAGGUGUGGCUGGAACACCUCCUUUCUAGAGAUU